AGUGCUGGGAUUUAUAGGUGUGAGCCACUGCACCUGGCCCACAACCUCUUUAUUUUUAUUGUAAUAUGGAUGACUGGAACACAUUUGGUCUCCAGGUGACCCUUCAUAGGAAAGUAUCUUCAUGAGCUUCAGAUUAUAUAAUGACAGCUGAAAAGGUUAGUCUCAGUUACGACUUGAAGAGAUCUGUGUGUAAAAACUUCAGAAAGUAACAGGAUUGCUGGUGCUCGAAGUUAGUCUUUAGUAUGUGACUGUAGAGCUAUUUACAUCUAAGGCACAUUGCUAACAUAGAAUAAAAUUUGUCCUGAGUAUUUCAAUAAUGUGAUAAUGUGAUAUUUUUGCUAGAGACUAGCUUUCCCCCAAAUUGUAAAUGUGUAUUCUUCUCAAAUGUAGAAGUCUCUGGUCUUAUCACCUGGUGGGUAAGGACAUGCACAUCUUUUUCUUUUUUUCCAUCUUAGAAAGUAAUAGUCUGGAUCACAGAGUAGUUAGAUGAAGCUUCCAUCCAUCUUCCCUCAUGAUGCACUUUGUGUUGUUGGUAGAACAAGGGCAAGGGUAACCGUCACAUUCUGUUGGUUCUUCUGCUGAAAGCUGGAGUUUUUUCUGAACCUGUCGUCUGUGAUUCAUACUUGUCCUGAUAGUGCAUCUUUGGUGAUCUCAGUACUGAUCUAUGCUAUUCCGUAGCUGCCCCGGAACUGGAUUGAUAACUGCCCCACACCUAGCCUUACCUCUGCAUUCUCCCCACAUACUUAUGAAGCAGUGGGAGUUUCAGGAGCACAUUCGGCUUGUUCUCCAUUGCAUCUCAAUACUUGUUACCCUCUUUUAGAUCUUGAGCCCCUUAGAGAAUUUGGUGAAAGCUUUGGACUGUCUCCACAGUAGUACGUAUACAUAUUAUUAUGGGAAAUUCACAGAUGCCUUGAAAUCCCGGGAUAAGGAUUCCUGGGUUAGAUAUUGUCAUAACAGGAAAUAUAACAUGGUCCCAUUUAAAAGUAAACCAGAGGUUCCUAACCUCAGAUUUGUCGUUUAUCAUGGGCUGCCAUGAAGGUUUCUGCUUGAUCAUUUUUCUUAGCUUGGAAUGCUGUAUUUCCUAUCCUACGAAAGUGUUUGGACAAAGCAGAGUGUGUAGGGAAAGAGCUGAGGAAGUGAGGACAAGAAAGGAUGGAUGGAGUGUGUGGCUGUAAAAACUUCUGUUUUUCUGGUUUAACUAAACCAUAGGAAAUGAUUUGCUCUUCCUAACCUUUUCUGUAACUUCUGUCAGUUUCCAUUCUUAGGUUGCAGUUAAAGAUAGUCCUCAAAAAUUACAUUCCGCAGGCUUUCUUUUGUAACAUCUUUAAUACUGUUUUUUAAAAUCCAAAUCAUCCUGAUGUUUGAAGGUAAAGGAAGCUCAUCUUUGGGCAGUUGAGGUUGCUGGAGUGGACCCUUCUACUAAGCAAUGUACGGUGUAUCAUAAAGCUGUUUGCUAUGUUUAACGGAGUUUAGCCAUUCACUUGGGUGGGCAGUAUUUCCAGAUAGCCUUUACCUAGUCCCCUGAGUAAGCUGGCAUUACUGCUCAUUCCUCCUUCCCAUCCACAGCCCCAUUCUCAAUGUUUUUCUUUUUUUAAAAGUCACCUGUUGGGGAUGGGGGAGGGAAGCUUAUUUUCUCUCUUUGGAAGAGUUAUAAAUGGAAUCAGGAGAUAGAAACUUAUAUGAUACAAUGCAAUUAUAUUGUUAUAUGCACAGUAAUAAUAGAACACCCAAGAUUACCUUUUCUUGAAAUCUAAUUUCUGUAGCUUGUCUCUUUCUUUAUUGAAUCUGUUCUUUAUUGUACUGAAUAUAAUUAGCUUAGCGUUUUUAGUAUCUUAGAAGUAUUUUUUUUUUCAUGGUAGAUUGUUUUUUGAUCAUAUUCCUAUUUGUAUAUAUGAAUUCUGUUUCAUGACAUGAAUGUCACAAAUGCAUAGACUUUGAUUUUUGUAGUGACACAUACGAUUUGCAGUCCCCCCCCCCCCCACCAUUUUCUUGAUUUCCCCUUCACCAGUAUGGAGAUGAGAAAAGGGGAGCUUGCAUAACACUCCAUGGAGACCAAGUUAAUCCAGUCCUAUUCUACAUAAACAUUUCCUUCUGACCCAGAUAAGUACCAAAGUACCCAUGUUCUAAGCAACAUUUCUGUAUAAUAGGUGAUGGUGGUAAGUGUUUGAACUCUUCCUGAGGUUUCCAGUGCACAAAGCUGUUGUGUAAAUGAUUUUGUUUAAUCUUAACUACUAUAUGAAGUAGACAGUUUUGUGCUGCCCCACCCCCCACAUCCCCCACUUUCCCCAUGUUUCCUUUUCUGGCCACAGAGGAGUCCAGUUAAUUUGUCACCAGUCACACAAUUACUGUGUGGUAAAGAUGUUAUUCAGACCAGGUUAGGUGCUCCAGAUUCAGAGUAGUCUAGUACCCUGUACUGUUUCCUGCUCCCACAGUUUAAGAGCUCUAGGAACCAGGUUAUAGGUGACCAUGGGAAAAUCAGCAAGUUGUCCAGCAGUAGGAAACUUCUGCAUCUGUAUGUAUGUAUGUACUUUAACAUUGUAUGCACUGAAUAAUUCUUUUGCCAAAAAAAAAAAAAAAAAAGGGAAAAUGAUGGUAAGAGUAAAUAAGAAAGAAAAACCUUGUAUGAUCUCACUCUCUGGAGAACUAUUCCAUUACCAUUUUAGCAUAUUUCUUUCCAUUCUUUCUACUUAGGAGGAGAGUCCACAUUGUUUACAUAUUGGCAUUAAUAUACGGUUCAUAGUUUUAUAUUCUGCUUUUUUCUCUUAGCACCUCAUGAGCAUUUUCCCAUGCCAUUUAAAAUUUUUGGAAAUGUUCUAAAUGAAUUUUGCCUUGAGGAAAAUAAAUUCUACUCAAGAAGGUAGUUGACUGUUAUAAGCCCAGUGGUGGUGAAGUAGUCAAAACUGAUGGCACAAAGUCUAACUGAGGGAGAAAAGACAGAAGCAGCAGAGUUGGAGAGUAGGGUUAAUAAAGUCAGUCUAUACCUUUAUGGUGUGUGGUACCUAUGGGACUUUUGAAAAUGCUCAUUAAGCAAAGAACCCAUGGGCUUACAGCAAAGUUUUCUAAAUUGCCGUCAUCAUGUGUUUGGAAGUUGAAACUUAUUUCCUAGGUGAGGAAAUUAAGGUCUAGAGAGACAAAUGAGUUAACUGCCACCGGUUCAUUGUGCAACCAUAUUGAAGAGGGUAUCUUUUAGAUGAGGUCACUAUAGCGUUAUCAGGCCUCCUAGUGCAAGCAGUGACCAGUAAAUGGUUUCGGAACAAAUAAAGCAAUGUGAUUCUGUGGAUCAUUUAUCACCACACUUUUGUGUGUCCACUACAAACAGUACCUCCGAAAAGUGAUCAUUUGUUCUCUUUUGGAUGUUUAGUGCUCACUUCUGAUAUAUCCCAUUCUGUUUUUUAAACAAGAGGAGUUCGAAAUUUACAGAUUGUUUCUAACAGAAUGAAACUAUUAAUUCAUUUUGUUAUCCACCCCCCCCCCCCGUUUUU
Molecule: long non-coding RNA, 3482 nt
Organism: Sapajus apella (tufted capuchin)
Lineage: Eukaryota; Metazoa; Chordata; Mammalia; Primates; Cebidae
Exons: 2
Source: RefSeq, a predicted model, not a curated record